AGGCAGCAGUGGGGAAUAUUGCGCAAUGGGCGAAAGCCUGACNCAGCGACGCCGCGUGUGGGAUGACGGNCUUCGGGUUGUAAACCACUGUCGCGAGGGACGAAGAUCUGACGGUACCUCGAAAGGAAGCACCGGCUAACUCUGUGCCAGCAGCCGCGGUAAUACAGAGGGUGCGAGCGUUGUCCGGAAUCACUGGGCGUAAAGGGCGCGUAGGUGGCCUGGUAAGUAGGGGGUGAAAUCUCGAGGCUCAACUUCGAGGCUGCCUCCUAAACUGUCAGGCUUGAGCAGAGUAGAGGCAGGUGGAAUUCCCGGUGUAGCGGUGGAAUGCGUAGAGAUCGGGAAGAACAUCGGUGGCGAAGGCGGCCUGCUGGGCUCUUGCUGACACUGAUGCGCGACAGCGUGGGGAGCAAACAGGAUUAGAUACCCUGGUAGUCCACGCCGUAAACGAUGGGUACUAGGCGCCGGGGGGAGCGACCCCUUCGGUGCCGUCGCUAACGCAAUAAGUACCCCGCCUGGGGAGUACGGCCGCAAGGCUGAAACUCAAAGGAAUUGACGGA
Molecule: ribosomal RNA, 557 nt
Filed under: uncultured bacterium
Lineage: Bacteria
Description: bacterial SSU rRNA
Rfam family: Bacterial small subunit ribosomal RNA
Source: RNAcentral